Molecule: ribosomal RNA, 1520 nt
Filed under: uncultured bacterium
Lineage: Bacteria
Description: bacterial SSU rRNA
Rfam family: Bacterial small subunit ribosomal RNA
Source: RNAcentral
AGAGUUUGAUCCUGGCUCAGAACAAACGCUAGCGGCGUGCCUAACACAUGCAAGUCAGACGAGAAAGUUCGCUUCGGUGAAUUAGUAGAGUGGCGCACGGGUGAGUAACGCGUGGACAAUCUGCCCUAGAGUUAGGAAUAACCCACCGAAAGGUGGGCUAAUACCGAAUAAUGCUAUAUUUCUUCGGGAGUAUAGCCAAAGAUGGCCUCUGUUUACAUGCUAUCGCUCAAGGAUGAGUUCGCGUACCAUUAGCUUGUUGGUGGGGUAAAGGCCUACCAAGGCGACGAUGGUUAGCUGGUCUGAGAGGACGACCAGCCACACUGGAACUGAGACACGGUCCAGACUCCUACGGGAGGCAGCAGUGAGGAAUCUUGCGCAAUGGGGGAAACCCUGACGCAGCAACGCCGCGUGAGUGAGGAAGGCCUUCGGGUCGUAAAGCUCUGUCAGGUGGGAAGAAAUGUAUGAAGGCCAAUACCCUUCAUGCUUGACGGUACCACCAGAGGAAGCACCGGCAAACUCCGUGCCAGCAGCCGCGGUAAUACGGGGGGUGCAAGCGUUGUUCGGAAUUAUUGGGCGUAAAGAGCGUGUAGGCGGUUAGGCAAGUCAGAUGUGAAAGCCCUGGGCUCAACUCAGGAAGUGCAUUUGAAACUGUUUAACUAGAGUAAGAGAGAGGAAAGUGGAAUUCCUGGUGUAGAGGUGAAAUUCGUAGAUAUCAGGAGGAACACCGGUGGCGAAGGCGGCUUUCUGGCUCUAUACUGACGCUGAGACGCGAAAGCGUGGGGAGCAAACAGGAUUAGAUACCCUGGUAGUCCACGCCGUAAACGAUGUUCACUAGGUGUUGGGGGUAUUGACCCCCUCAGUGCCGCAGCUAACGCAUUAAGUGAACCGCCUGGGGAGUACGGUCGCAAGAUUAAAACUCAAAGGAAUUGACGGGGGCCCGCACAAGCGGUGGAGCAUGUGGUUUAAUUCGAUGCAACGCGAAGAACCUUACCUGGACUUGACAUCCCGAGAACCCUCUGGAAACAGAGGGGUGCUCUUCGGAGAACUCGGUGACAGGUGCUGCACGGCUGUCGUCAGCUCGUGUCGUGAGAUGUUGGGUUAAGUCCCGCAACGAGCGCAACCCUUGUCUUUAAUUGCCAUCAUUAAGUUGGGCACUUUAAAGAGACUGCCGGUGUUAAACCGGAGGAAGGUGGGGAUGACGUCAAGUCCUCAUGGCCUUUAUGUCCAGGGCUACACACGUGCUACAAUGGGUGGUACAAAGAGCAGCGACCUCGCGAGAGGAAGCAAAUCUCAAAAAGCCAUCCUCAGUUCGGAUUGGAGUCUGCAACUCGACUCCAUGAAGUCGGAAUCGCUAGUAAUCGUGGAUCAGCAUGCCACGGUGAAUACGUUCCCGGGCCUUGUACACACCGCCCGUCACACCCGGAAAGUUGAUUGCACCAGAAGUCGUUGAGCUAACCUUUUAACGAGGAGGCAAGCGCCGACGGUGUGGUUGGUAAUCGGGGUGAAGUCGUAACAAGGUA